This 395-nucleotide ribosomal RNA is filed under the name uncultured bacterium. Its description in RNAcentral is "partial 16S ribosomal RNA". It matches the Rfam family "Bacterial small subunit ribosomal RNA", at positions 523 to 918 of the family's 1533-position model. The record is from RNAcentral.
AUACGUAGGGUGCAAGCGUUAAUCGGAAUUACUGGGCGUAAAGCGUGCGCAGGCGGUUUUGUAAGACAGUGGUGAAAUCCCCGGGCUCAACCUGGGAACUGCCAUUGUGACUGCAAGGCUGGAGUGCGGCAGAGGGGGAUGGAAUUCCGCGUGUAGCAGUGAAAUGCGUAGAUAUGCGGAGGAACACCGAUGGCGAAGGCAAUCCCCUGGGACUGCACUGACGCUCAUGCACGAAAGCGUGGGGAGCAAACAGGAUUAGAUACCCUGGUAGUCCACGCCCUAAACGAUGUCAACUGGUUGUUGGGGAUUUAUUUUCUCAGUAACGAAGCUAACGCGUGAAGUUGACCGCCUGGGGAGUACGGCCGCAAGGUUAAAACUCAAAUGAAUUGACGGGG